Molecule: unclassified non-coding RNA, 139 nt
Filed under: soil metagenome
Description: partial internal transcribed spacer 1
Source: RNAcentral
CCUAGAGUUGUAGGCUUUGCCUGCUAUCUCUUACCCAUGUCUUUUGAGUACCUUACGUUUCCUCGGUGGGUUCCGCCAGCCGAUUGGACAAUUUAAACCCUUUGCAGCUGCAAUCAGCGUCUGAAAAACUUAAUAGUUA